Molecule: small RNA, 28 nt
Filed under: Bombyx mori (domestic silkworm)
Lineage: Eukaryota; Metazoa; Arthropoda; Insecta; Lepidoptera; Bombycidae
Description: ovarian small RNA-10029
Source: RNAcentral
AAACUAAAGAUUACAGGUAAAUAAGUAA